AGCGAACGCUGGCGGCAUGCUUAACACAUGCAAGUCGCACGGGCUGCUUUCGGGUGGUCAGUGGCGGACGGGUGAGUAACGCGUAGGGAUUUGUCGUUGGGUGGGGGACAACCCGGGGAAACCUGGGCUAAUACCGCAUGACGCCUGUGGGCCAAAGCAGUGAUGCGCCUGACGAGGAGCCUGCGUUCGAUUAGCUUGUUGGUGGGGUAACGGCCUACCAAGGCUGCGAUCGAUAGCUGGUCUGAGAGGAUGAUCAGCCACACUGGGACUGAGACAC
This 277-nucleotide ribosomal RNA is filed under the name uncultured bacterium. Its description in RNAcentral is "partial 16S ribosomal RNA". It matches the Rfam family "Bacterial small subunit ribosomal RNA", at positions 29 to 327 of the family's 1533-position model. The record is from RNAcentral.